Helianthus annuus (common sunflower) is the source of this 383-nucleotide long non-coding RNA. RefSeq lists it as uncharacterized. The record is from RefSeq and is a predicted model, not a curated record. The transcript has 4 exons. NCBI's taxonomy places the organism in Eukaryota, Viridiplantae, Streptophyta, Magnoliopsida, Asterales, Asteraceae.
AUAAAUUCCUCUAAAAAACACGCUCUCUUUUUUCUAAACCCUAGAUCUUAAUCUUCUUCCUUCUGAUGUACUCUUUCUCUUCUCUUCUGAUCCAAUCCAGAUGAUUCAAGCUUCAAUAAUCAUGUCGUCUCCAGAAUUCUAGCCAUCACUCUCAUCGGGAUUUCUCAUCUCUCCGUCGAUUAAACUUUUGAAUCAGUGAGUCACUCAGCCAAUCCUUUCUGUAAUUUCUUGAUUUCUUCUUCAAAUCUUAUAAACUCCAACCGCAUAGAGAUGGAAGAGAUUCAGCAAGAUUUGGGCAAGUUUCGAUUUGAUGGCUAAAUUGGACGUCACGAUGACAGAACUGGUAGACUAUGUGCAGGUGAACCAAGAAAUCAUCUCAUAGG